Molecule: ribosomal RNA, 329 nt
Filed under: uncultured eukaryote
Lineage: Eukaryota
Description: partial 18S ribosomal RNA
Rfam family: Eukaryotic small subunit ribosomal RNA
Source: RNAcentral
CCCUUAGAUGUUCUGGGCCGCACGCGCGCUACACUGAUGCAUUCAACGAGUCUAAAACCUGCUCUGAUAGGGGUGGGUAAUCUUUUGAAUGUGCAUCGUGAUUGGGAUAGAUGAUUGCAAUUUUUCAUCUUCAACGAGGAAUGCCUAGUAAACGCAAGUCAUCAGCUUGCAUUGAUUACGUCUCUGCCCUUUGUACACACCGCCCGUCGCUCCUACCGAUUGAAUGAUCCGAUGAAUAUCAUGGAUUGAGGAUGCAAGUAGGUUCGCCUAUCUUCAUCUUCGAGAAGUGAAGUAAAUCUUAUCAUUUAGAGGAAGGAGAAGUCGUAACA